Molecule: ribosomal RNA, 460 nt
Filed under: uncultured bacterium
Lineage: Bacteria
Description: partial 16S ribosomal RNA
Rfam family: Bacterial small subunit ribosomal RNA
Source: RNAcentral
CCUACGGGUGGCAGCAGUGAGGAAUAUUGGUCAAUGGACGAGAGUCUGAACCAGCCAAGUAGCGUGAAGGAUGACUGCCCUAUGGGUUGUAAACUUCUUUUAUAUGGGAAUAAAAUGUUCCACGUGUGGGCUUUUGUAUGUACCAUAUGAAUAAGGAUCGGCUAACUCCGUGCCAGCAGCCGCGGUAAUACGGAGGAUCCGAGCGUUAUCCGGAUUUAUUGGGUUUAAAGGGAGCGUAGGUGGAUUGUUAAGUCAGUUGUGAAAGUUUGCGGCUUAACCGGAGAAUUGCAGUUGAAACUGGCAGUCUUGAGGACAGUAGAGGUAGGCGGAAUGCGUGGUGUAGCGGUGAAAUGCUUAGAGAUCACGAAGAACUCCGAUUGCGAAGGCAGCUCACUGGACUGCAACUGACGCUGAGGCUCGAAAGUGUGGGUAUCAAACAGGAUUAGAUACCCCUGUAGUC